GUAGGGUGCAAGCGUUAAUCGGAAUUACUGGGCGUAAAGGGUGCGCAGGCGGCUCCGCAUGUCGGGCGUGAAAUCCCCGGGCUUAACCUGGGAAUUGCGUCCGAAACUAUGGAGCUGGAGUGUGGCAGAGGGAGGUGGAAUUCCACGUGUAGCGGUGAAAUGCGUAGAGAUGUGGAGGAACACCGAUGGCGAAGGCAGCCUCCUGGGCCAACACUGACGCUCAUGCACGAAAGCGUGGGGAGCAAACAGGAUUAGAUACCCUGGUAGUCCACGCCCUAAACGAUGAUGACUAGUUGUUGGAGGAGUUAAAUCCUUUAGUAACGCAGCUAACGCGCGAAGUCAUCCGCCUGGGGAGUACGGUCGCAAGAUUA
Molecule: ribosomal RNA, 371 nt
Filed under: uncultured bacterium
Lineage: Bacteria
Description: bacterial SSU rRNA
Rfam family: Bacterial small subunit ribosomal RNA
Source: RNAcentral